UCUAUUUCUGCUAAAGACAUUACUAGCAGUGAAAGUAACCUUAGUCAGUGAAAGCCCCUCAUAUGGUCACUCAAGCAGUUAUCAAAGGAGUUUGAUCUCAUUCACUUAUUUAUUUUGUCAAACAUUAUUAAUCACUUCCUGCAUAUAGAACCCAGAGAUGGUGCCCAGUCAAUAAUCAUUUCUUAAUCUCUUUCUAUGUGUUAAGUGCUGGGAAUAGGAAGAAAGGAAAAAAAGAGUGCCUGCCCUCAAGGAGUUUGCAAUCUUAACUGUGUUCCCCUGUAUGUUUACCUUUUAAUAAGACUCUUUCUCUGCAGCUUCGGGGUCAGCCACUGGAUCAACCUUCACUCCUUCACUAGGAUCUACAGGGCCUGGAGCCUACGCGGUUAGUGGCACUGCUAACCUGGAAUCUUUCCUUCUAAACUU
This 423-nucleotide long non-coding RNA is filed under the name Phascolarctos cinereus (koala). Its description in RNAcentral is "lncRNA (ENSPCIG00000032061.1)". Lineage: Eukaryota; Metazoa; Chordata; Mammalia; Diprotodontia; Phascolarctidae. The record is from RNAcentral.